This 252-nucleotide ribosomal RNA is filed under the name uncultured bacterium. Its description in RNAcentral is "partial 16S ribosomal RNA". It matches the Rfam family "Bacterial small subunit ribosomal RNA", at positions 524 to 776 of the family's 1533-position model. The record is from RNAcentral.
UACGGAGGAUGCGAGCGUUAUCCGGAUUUAUUGGGUUUAAAGGGUGCGUAGGCGGGCUUUUAAGUCAGCGGUAAAAAUUCGGGGCUCAACCCCGUCCGGCCGUUGAAACUGGGAGUCUUGAGUGGGCGAGAAGAAGGCGGAAUGCGUGGUGUAGCGGUGAAAUGCAUAGAUAUCACGCAGAACCCCGAUUGCGAAGGCAGCCUUCCGGCGCCCUACUGACGCUGAGGCACGAAAGUGCGGGGAUCGAACAGG